CCGGCGCACGGGUGAGUAACGCGUAUCCAACCUGCCCUUUACUAUGGGACAGCCCGUCGAAAGGCGGAUUAAUACCGUAUGUUGUCAUGUUGAUGCAUAUUUUCAUGACCAAAGGCUUCGGCCGGUAAAGGAUGGGGAUGCGUCUGAUUAGCUUGCCGGCGGGGUAACGGCCCACCGGGGCGACGAUCAGUAGCCGGCCUGAGAGGGCGGACGGCCACAUUGGGACUGAGACACGGCCCAGACUCCUACGGAAGGCAGCAG
Molecule: ribosomal RNA, 261 nt
Filed under: uncultured bacterium
Lineage: Bacteria
Description: partial 16S ribosomal RNA
Rfam family: Bacterial small subunit ribosomal RNA
Source: RNAcentral